AGAGUGGAAACUUCCUUGGCAGUGGGGGUGGUUGUUGGGCAUACAGCUAUUUAAUCAGGAGAUCACCUGUGUCCUUCUCUGGUUUAAUGCAACCCCGCCCACUCAACCUAAACAGCUUAAAACACUUAAACUGAGUCAUUUCACCUUCUCUGGCUUCCCUCCUUCUUGUUUUCCUCUUCAUCAAAACAACAUUUCUACAGUGGGCUCAGAGGCUGAACUAAUUGCCUAUAAUUUCACUUAGACACGCACUCACGUCCAGCCCUGCACUUCACUUCUCCAGACAGCAAUCUUGGUCUCUGUCUUACUUGUUUCUUCCCUUCCUCUCCUCUCGUUCUUGUAUUCUUUCCCCCAAGAGACAUGAUUUACUUCUGUCAUGGACAAGGACAUCUGCCUAUUAGCGAGUGCCACUGACGUAGGCAUCGCCAUCCCCUCCUGCUUAUUAUCCCCCUUGCUCAUCCGCCUUCUUCUCCCGCUCCACCUCCUCCUGCCUUACUCAAAUUGGGGUCACCAACCUUCAUCAUGCAGUGCUGGUGAAUCAUCAGUGGGACUCUCGGGAGGAGGGACUGCCUGUCCAGGAUACUUCCGUCCUCCUCCCUAAAUUACCAGGGUAACCCGACAUUGUCUGCUCUCUACUGUCACACCACUCUGUCGCACAAAGAGAGGAAUACAGCAAUAGAGGGAGACAUUGAAUAUGAAUGAGGGACGUUGCAAGAAGAUGGGGAUCGUGAAAGAUACAGUAAUGCUUACGUAAUAAAAUCAAAGCUCACCAAC
Molecule: long non-coding RNA, 771 nt
Organism: Oreochromis niloticus (Nile tilapia)
Lineage: Eukaryota; Metazoa; Chordata; Actinopteri; Cichliformes; Cichlidae
Exons: 2
Source: RefSeq, a predicted model, not a curated record